RNAcentral lists this unclassified non-coding RNA (240 nucleotides) under soil metagenome. RNAcentral describes it as "partial contains 5.8S ribosomal RNA, internal transcribed spacer 2, and large subunit ribosomal RNA". The record is from RNAcentral.
AACGCACGAGACCUGCGGACCUGCGGAGGGAUCAUUAUAGAGUGGUAAACCCCCCGUAAAAGGGGGGGACCUCCUGUCCUUUGUAGGCUCUUUUUUAAAAGGGCUUUUUUUAAUUUUCUGCUUCGGUGGGGUUAUCCCACCGGAACAACCUCAAAACUCUUAUCAAAAAAUCGUUCUGUCUGAGAACCUUUUAUAAUAAAAAAAAACUUUUAACAAUGGAUCUCUAGAUCGGAAGAGCAC